AGGACGAACGCUGGCGGCGUGCUUGAUACAUGCAAGUCGAACGGAGAGUGUAGCAAUAUACUUUUAGUGGCGAACGGGUGAGUAACGCGUUGGUGACCUGCCCCGAAGCGAGGGAUAACAGUUCGAAAGAACUGCUAAUACCUCAUGUGAUCACCGGUUUUAGAAUCUGGUGAUUAAAGGUGAAAAUCACUUCGGGAGGGGCCUGCGUCCCAUCAGCUAGUUGGUAAGGUAAUGGCUUACCAAGGCGAUGACGGGUAGGGGACCUGAGAGGGUGGCCCCCCACAAUGGAACUGAAACACGGUCCAUACACCUACGGGUGGCAGCAGUAGGGAAUAUUGCAAAUGGGCGAAAGCCUGAUGUAGCAACGCCGCGUGUGCGAUGAAGGUCUUCGGAUUGUAAAGCACUUUUUGGAGGGAUGAGGAAGGACAGUACCUCCAGAAUAAGCCUCGGCUAACUACGUG
Molecule: ribosomal RNA, 461 nt
Filed under: uncultured bacterium
Lineage: Bacteria
Description: bacterial SSU rRNA
Rfam family: Bacterial small subunit ribosomal RNA
Source: RNAcentral